UACGAAGGGGGCUAGCGUUGUUCGGAUUUACUGGGCGUAAAGCGCACGUAGGCGGAUUGUUAAGUCAGGGGUGAAAUCCUGGAGCUCAACUCCAGAACUGCCUUUGAUACUGGCAAUCUUGAGUCCGGAAGAGGUGAGUGGAACUCCUAGUGUAGAGGUGGAAUUCGUAGAUAUUCGCAAGAACACCAGUGGCGAAGGCGGCUCACUGGCCCGGUACUGACGCUGAGGUGCGAAAGCGUGGGGAGCGAACAGG
RNAcentral lists this ribosomal RNA (253 nucleotides) under uncultured bacterium. Its description in RNAcentral is "partial 16S ribosomal RNA". It matches the Rfam family "Bacterial small subunit ribosomal RNA", at positions 524 to 776 of the family's 1533-position model. The record is from RNAcentral.